AACGUCACUUGGUCGUCUGCUGUUUUUUUUUUUUUUUUUUUUUUGUUGUUGUUGCUGUU
RNAcentral lists this non-coding RNA (59 nucleotides) under Stygamoeba regulata. Lineage: Eukaryota; Discosea; Stygamoebida. The record is from RNAcentral.